CUCCAGUACUGCGUACAAUACUCCAAGUGAGGUCUCACCAGUGUUCUGUACAAGGUAUGAGCACUUCCCUCUUUCUACUGCUAAUACCUCUCCCUAUACAACCAAGCAUUCUGCUAGCAUUUCCUGCUGCUCUAUUACAUUGUCUGCCUACCUUUAAGUCAUCUGAAAUAAUUACCCCUAAAUCCCUUUCCUCAGAUGUUGAGGUUAGUAUUGUAUGUGACACUCUUCUUACCUUUAAAAGAUGUAAAAAACAGAUAAAAUUUGUAUCUUAUAAUAUAUUUUUUAUUAGACUAACAUAAUUUUUUAAUGACAAGCUUUCGGGAGAACCUCCCUUUCUUAAGCCUUAAGCCCUUCUGAACGAGACGACACAUAGAAGUUGAGUUGUGAUACAGGGGUUAAAGUGACAGGAGUGCAGAUAAGACACACACACAUAUAUAUAUAUUGCUAUUCAAGAUUUAGCAAUUACCAUCACUAUUCAUUCUAUCCAAUCCUAGCACAGUCAUGUCACAAAUUGCUCUGGAGAAGGAGAAAAUUAAGCAAUAUUUCUAUGCUCUCUCUGUCCUUACUGAUGACUUGCAAAAAGGCUGUUUUUGUCAGCCGCAACGUUGUCAUGAUGUGCAGGUUCCCAUUGAAGUGUGCAUUGUCAAACAACCUGUGUGCCUGAACUCUUAAAAUUAUUAAAAUGUUCAUGGAGACUUGCCAUCUCUAUAUAUGCAGCAGCAGUGCACUACUAUUUUUUAUCAGUUUUAUCGCUUUUUUAAAAUCACUUUUUGUUUGAUAGCUGAGAGGGCUACAGUCCCUGUUUGAUAUUGGCAUAUAUCUUUCUGUGCUUACUAGCAGAUGCAAAAAUCAGAGCUCGAACCAAGGACUGACAGGGGACCAAGAUGGAAGUCAGGGCCGGCGCUUCCUAUAAGGCGAACUAGGCAGCCGCCUAGGGCGCCAUAUAGGAGGGGGCGCCAUGCGCCCCCAUCGCCGGCCCUUUAAAUUCUGCAGCCGCCUGAGUGCUCUAUAGAGAGCGCUCAGGCGGCUGCCACAGUGCCUCACUGCUCUGCCCUGCCGUAGCGUGGCCGAGCUCCUUUCCGGUCCGCGACCCGGCCGGAAUGACAGUGUGCACUUCCUGUCAGUCCCGCUGGGUCGCGGACCGGAAAGGAGCUCGGCCACGCUACAGGGCAGGGGAGGUGAGGUGAGGAGAUGCUGAUGGGAGGGGGAGNNNNNNNNNNNNNNNNNNNNNNNNNNNNNNNNNNNNNNNNNNNNNNNNNNNNNNNNNNNNNNNNNNNNNNNNNNNNNNNNNNNNNNNNNNNNNNNNNNNNAGAAGAUGACAGGGGGGAGAAGAAGAGGAGAACACGGGGGGGGAAUAAGAGGAAAACACGGGGGAGAAGAAGAGGAGAACACGAGGGGUGGGAGAUGAGAACGUAGGGGAGGGAGAGACCACUAAAGGAGGGAGGGGGCGGUGGAGAGACCACUAGGGAAGGGGUGUGAGGAGAGACCGCUAAGGGAGGGGGGUGGAGGAUAGACCACUAGGGGAGGGUGGAGGGAGAGGAGAGACCACUAAUGGAAAGUCGGGGAGAAAAGGAGACCACUAAGGGAGGUGGGAGGGAGAGGAGAGACCACUAAGGGGUAGGGGAGAUCUCUAAGGAAUGGAAGGGAGAGCUCUAUAGGACAGGGGGACAGGGAGCUCUUUCACACCACGCGCGCGCGCACACACACACACACAAUGCAUCCCUAUACACACAGAAACACAACAUGCUUCCCUUACACACAGAGAAACACACAAUGCAACCCUUACACAUAAAGACAAUGCAUCCUUUGCACAUAUACACAGAAACACACAAUGCAUCCCUUACACACACAUGCAAACACACACUGCUUCUCUUACACACACACAGAAACACAAUGCAUCUCUUACACACACUCAACGCACCCCUUACAGACACACACACUGCAUCCCUUACAUACACAGAAACACACUUUGCAUCCCUUAGGCAUACAAACACAGAUUCACACAAUGCAUCCCUUACACACAACAAGAAACACACAAUACAUCCCUUAUAUACACACACACACACACUGCUUCCACUACACACAAACACACUGCAUCACCUACACAAACUGGUAUCCCUAUACACUACAUUCCGUAAGCACACACAUUAGAUCCUCUACAGUAACACAUAACACAUCCCCUACACACUCUACUCCCUGUGAGUUCAUGGGUGGAACAUGUAGGUGGACUUAUGGGUGGGCUUUAUGGGCAUACUCACCGUCAGGCCCUGGGGCCCAGACCUUGAGCUAUGUAAGAGGCCCCAAAAAAUGGAGCUGCUUCCCGUUCUCCCAGAACAUUGAAUUUUGUGACCACAGUUACAAACAGCCUCCAGAGAUCCUGUUCUACACCAGACCAGUGGAGCCAGACUGCAGCCAGAGCCCAUCACCAUCCUCAUCUGAUUGUAAGUAGGCAAUCUAGUAUAUUAUUAGUGACACUAAUCUCUAAUUUACCUCACAUUAAAUGGACACUAUAGUCCCCAGAACCACUGCAGCUUAAUAAAGUUGUUCUGGUGUCUAUAGUUUGUCCCUGCAGGCUUUUUAAUGUAAACACACACUGUGUGCAGCACUGGCAUUAGUUCUUAUGGGUGGGGUAUUGCAAUGUUCCGGGGGGGGCGGCAAAUCCUUCUUUUGCCUAGGGCGGCAAAAAUUCUUGUACCGGCCCUGAUGGAAGUGCUCAAUUAUGGAGAGUUAAAAACAUCAGCCUGCAAUUCUACACCAGCUUACACUCUCAGCCUAUCAACAAUGCCCAAUCUGAGGUUUCAUCGUUGAUGCCAGGGACGAAGGUUGAAGAAGAGGAACCUGGAACUGGCAUCAUCUGGACCACUUUGGGGUUUUAACUGGUAUGGUAAAAAAUAGCACCCAGAACCUCCAGACAUCAUAACAACUUCAUAUCAAUGAAGUUGUUAUGGUGCCUAUAGUGUUUCUUUAAAUAGAUGGGGCUAACACAAUAAUACUAAAUCCCAGCGGGUGACCGUUUCUUAUAAAUAUGUGUUUAAACUGCAGAAAAUAUGUUUGAAAAUAGUUUUUUAUGAACCAGAUAUUAUGUUCUUGUUCUAAGGUAUUUUUUUCAGUCACAAAAAUAAAUGUUAUGCGGUCAUGAAUUUGCCUAAAAAUAGAAUGAAUCCGGGACAUACUUUGAAAGAAAGUGCUUUUUGGGGGUAUUUUGUUCAUCAUUUGAAGUGUUGGGAAAUCCGAAACUCUGAUUUAGAGUUUGAAAAGUCAUUGUCAGCUCAUCACCAUAGAUGGACAUAUUACUGCAACAUAUUCAUUAGAGAACAAAUUAUCUCCAUUGCUGUCCUUCCUCUCAUGUCUUCCCACUUUCUCCACUUCCUCUUCAUGCAAACCCAAUGUUCUGCUUUUCCGCUACUAUACAGCUACAAAUCUAACCUCUUACCAUAUGCUAAAUUUAAACAACGGGAUAAGGAAACCGUGAUAAAAUAGCAAAUAGGUCAACUUGAAUGGCCCUAAAUGUCUAUAUCCGAGCAUUAGUUUGACUCUGGAGGCCAGAGACAGAUCAAGUACGUUAAAUGACCUUUUCUUGCAAGCUUAAUUUUAGAGAGCAAAAGUUGAACCCAGCUACAGGGCCUAAGGUAAUCCAUAUUGAAAGGCAACUCUCCAGACACUCCAGACCAAUGAUAACAAACAGGGCCAGUGCAAGGAUUUUUGGCUACACAGGCAAAGAUUAAUUUUGCCCCCUCCCCCAAAAAAUGCAUCUUCACUGGUGUCUUGUGACCCCCCUUUCUUAAGUGUAUUGUAUCUACCCUUUGAUGUGUCUUACAACCCUUGUGUGUCUCUUACAACCGCCCUUGUGCAUUUCUUACUUCCCCAGACCCUUUGUGUGACAUACGGAUACAGUCAUACAGAACAAGGCAUUCAGAGACAUACAGACACAGUCAUACAGAGACAUACAGAACAAGGCAUACAGAGACAUAUGGACAAAGUCAUAUAGAGAAAUACAGGCACAGUCAUACACAGACAUAUAGUCAUGGGCAUCCGCAGGAAUUUUUCCAGGGGGGAGGGGGGCAUAAUUGUAAUGACAUUUAUGCUUGGCCCCUUUUUGACAGUGUUAUGAAGGGGAGGAGCAUAGUCAUUAUCACAUAAAGCCAGGGUGAAUAGCAUUUUCACGACUAUAGUGUCAGGAAUACAUGUCUGUUAAAUUAAAGGAACAUUCUGGUCAUCAUAAUAACUUCAUCUAAAUGAAAAUGCUAUGAUGCAAGGAGGCCCCUGGACGCUCUCUUUCCUUUAAAGGGUGAAACCGUUCUCAAAUUGUUUAACCCCAAAGGUUUCCUCCAGCUCCAGGUCGCUCAGUGGUAUUCGGCUUCUGAAACGGAGUGUCAGGAAGUGCAGAUUGACGUCAGGCAUGGGUGCUACAGAUUGGCUAAAGUGGUCAGCUCUCGCUCUAAGCCAAUCGCUAGUACCCAAUUCAUACAUUUUUUUAUGUUUUUAUGAAUGGGGAGCUACUGAUUGGCUUAGAGUGCCAACUGAACAGUGUAGCCAAUCAGUGAUACCCCUACCUAGCGGCCCUCUGUGUUUCCUGACACUCAGUAAAUAAAAAUAAAACACAUUAAAACUGAUCUGUUUUUACCUGGGGAGAUGAGAAGGUCCAAUGUUUCCUGCCAGGCCCAGGUAUCAAAGUCUUAUGAUGUGGUGUCCAGAAUGAAGUGGAGGGUUCACUUCACUUGUCCUUCCUGCUCCAAUCUAAUUUUCUGCUCCAUUUGACACAGUCUUUUUUUCUUCUGACACUGUCUUCUCUCAUCCUUGGCACCUUCUGCUCCUUUACCUUUCUGCUACGUCCUGCUUAUUUUGCACCCUUCUGCUCCUUUCUCUUUCUGAUCCAUUCCUUCUCCUUGCAGACCCUUCCUGCUCUUUGCUGCUCAAUUCUGUUCCUUUUCCUACUUUACCUUUGUGCUCCUUGCUGCCCCUUCCUACUCCUUGCUGAAACCUCCUGCCCCUUGCAGCCACUUCCAGCUCCUUGCUGACCCUUUCUGUUGCAUGUAGACCCUUCCUACUCCUUGCUGACCCCUCCUGCUUCUUGCUGACCCUUCCUGCUCCUUGCUGACCCCUCCUGCCCUUUGCAGACCCUUCCUACUCCUUUCUGCCCCUUCCUGCCCCUUGCUGACCGUUCCUACACCCGGUUGACCCCUCCUGCCCCUUGCAAACACUUCCUACUCCUUGCUGACCCCUCCUGCCCCUUGAAGACCCUUCCUACUCCUGGUUGACCUUUCCUGCUCCUUGCUGCCCCUUCCUACUCCUUGCUGAAACCUCCUGCCCCUUCCUACUCCUUGAUGACCCCUCCUGCCCCUUGCAGACCCUUCCUACUCCUUUCUGACCCCUCCUGCUCCUUGCUUCCCCUUCCUACUCCUUGCUGAAACCUCCUGCCCCUUCCUACUCCUUGCUGGCCCCUCCUGCUCCUUGCUGACCCCUCCUACCCCUUGCUGGCCCCUCCUGCUCCUUGCUAACCCCUCCUGCUCAUUGCUGCCCCUUUCUACUCCUUGCUGAAACCUCCUGCCCCUUCCUACUCCUUGCUGAAACCUCCUGCCCCUUGCAGACCCUUCCUACUCCUUUCUGACCCCUCCUGCCCCUUGCAGAACCUUUCUGCUCCUUCUACAUUACCUUCCUGUAGGCUGCCGCCCCCCUCCAUGCCUCACUUACCUGAUCUGUAGGUUACCCCCUCAAUGUCUCACUUACCUGAUCUGUAGGCUGUCUCUGCAGUUGUUGGCUGCUGCUCCCCUGCGGAUGCAGUCAGGAGAAAGAGGCAGGGAUAAGCUGCAGCUUUCUAUCCCUGCCUUUCUCUAUUCACAGCGCCACCUACUGUCCGGCGCCGUUACUGCAGUUUAUCACACAAACGAAAAAUAGCAGCACAAGCUGAAAACUCCAGGGGGGCGGGGAGGGGGGGCAAGUGCCCCCCUUGCCUCCCCCUGCGGACGCCCAUGCAUAUAGUCAUAAAAAGACAUAAAGACACAGGUAUACAGAGCAGGGGCGGAUCCAGAAACUAAUCUCGGGAGGCGAACUGGUAGUGGGUGGUAGUGGGCAGUGCUGUAUUUAGAGCGAGACUGACAAGGCAUUUGCCUUGGGUGGCACUUUCAGGGGGGUGGCAAAAAAAGGAGUUGGCUGGCUGUCCAUCUUAGAGCCCCUCCAAGUCUGUAAUCUACUCAUGUAGGUGGCGGACUGUAAAGGAGCGCUCUCCGGCCACGGCAUCACUAGGGAGCAGAGCAGAAAGACCAGAACUCCCUCGCCACCUGCAUUGACUGCACGCCUAGAAGCUAAGCCCAGCAGCCCCACUGGACCCCAGGGAAAUAGAGACUCCAUGCCAGCACUCCCAAAGGUAGGGAGGCUGGGUGGAGUGAGAUUUUAAAGAAAAUUAUAAAUUGUGUGUGUGUCUGUUAGUGAGUUUGUGUGUGUUUCUGUCAAAGAUUGUAUGUGUUUGUCAGUAAGAGUGUAUAUGUGUUUGUCAGUGAGUGUAUGUCUGUUUAUCAGUGAGACUGUAUGUAUGUAUGUUUGUCAGUGUGUGUGUAUGUGUGUUUGUCAGUGAGAGUGUAUAUGUGUUUGUCAGUGAUUUUGUAUAUGUUCUUGUCAGUGAGAGUGUAUGCGUGUUUGUCAGUGAGUGAGUAUGUGUGUUUGUCAGUGAGAGUGUAUGUGUGUUUGUCAGUGAGUGUGUGUAUGUGUUUGUCAGUGAGAGUGUAUAUGUUUGUUUGUAAUUGAGUUUGUACGUGUGUCUGUCAGUGAGUUAGUUUGUGUGUCUCUCAGUAAGAGUGUAUAUGUGUUUGUCAGUGAGUGUGUAUGUGUGUUUGUCAGUGAGACUGUAUGUAUGUUUGUCAGUGAGUGUGUAUGUGUGUUUGUCAGUGAGAGUGUAUAUGUGUGUUUCUCAGUGAGUAUGCAUGUGUGUCUGUCAAAUAGUGUAUGUGUGUUUGUCAGUAAGAGUGUAUGUGUGUUUGUCAGUGAGUGUGUAUGUGUGUUUGUCAGUUAGAGUGUAUGUGUAUUUGUCAGUGAGAGUAUAUAUGUGUUUUUGUCAGUGAGAGUGUAUUUGUGUUUGUCAGUGAGUUUGCAUGUGUUUGUCAGUGAGUGUGUAUGUGUUUUUGUCAGUGAAAGUGUAUAUGUGUUUGUUAGUGAUUUUGUAUGUGUGCUUGUCAGUGAGAGUGUAUGUGUGUUUGUCAGUGAGAGUGUAUGUGUGUUUGUCAGUGAGUGAGUAUGUGUGUUUGUCAGUGAGAUUGUAUAUGUGUGUUUAUCAGUGAGUUUGUAUGUGUGUCUGUCAGUGAGUUUUUUAUGUGUGUCUCUCAGUAAGAGUGUAUAUGUGUUUGUCAGUGAGUGUGUAUGCGUGUUUGUCAGUGAGAGUGUAUGUGUAUUUGUCAGUGAGAGUGUAUAUGUGUGGUUGUCAGUGAGUAUGUAUGUGUUUGUCAGGUAGUGGUAUGUGUGUUUGUCAGUAAGAGUAUAUGUGUAUUUGUCAGUGAGAGUAUAAAUGUGUUGGUCAGUGAGAGUGUAUAUGUGUUUGUCAGUGGGUUUGUAUGUGUGUUUGUCAGUGAGUGUGUGUAUGUUUGUCAGUGAGAGUGUAUAUGUUUGUUUGUAAUUGAAAUUGUACGUGUGUCUGUCAGUGAGUUUGUAUGUGUGUCUCUCAGUAAGAGUGUAUGUGUGUUUGUCAGUGAGUGUGUAUGUGUGUUUGUCAGUGAGAGUGUAUGUGUAUUUGUCAGUGAGAGUGUAUGUGUAUUUGUCAGUGAGAGUGUAUAUGUGUGUUUGUCAGUGAGUAUGUAUGUGUUUGUUAGGGAGUGUGUAUGUGUGUUUGUCAGUAAGAGUGUAUGUGUUUGUCAGUGAGUGUGUAUGUGUGUUUGUCAGUGAAAGUGUAUGUGUCAGUGAGAGUGUAUAUGUGUGUUUGUCAGUGAGUAUGUAUGUGUUUGUCAGGUAGUGUGUAUGUGUGUUUGUCAGUAAGAGUGUAUGUGUUUGUCAGUGAGUGUGUAUGUGUAUUUGUCAGUGAGAGUAUAAAUGUGUUUGUCAGUGAGAGUGUAUAUGUGUUUGUCAGUGGGUUUGUAUGUGUUUGUCAGUGAGUGUGUAUGUGUUUUUGUCAGUGAGAGUGUAUAUGUGUUUGUCAGCGAUUUUGUAUGGGUGCUUGUCAGUGAGAGUGUAUGUGUGUUUGUCAGUGAGUGUGUGUAUGUGUUUGUCAGUGAGAGUGUAUAUGUUUGUUUGUAAUUGAGUUUGUACGUGUGUCUGUCAGUGAGUUUGUAUGUGUGUCUCUCAGUAAGAGUGUAUAUGUGUUUGGCAGUGAGUGUGUAUGUGUGUUUUGUCAGUAAGAGUGUAUGUGUGUUUGUCAGUGAGUGUGUAUGUGUAUUUGUCAGUGAGAGUGUAUAUGUGUGUUUGUCAGUGAGUAUGUAUGUGUUAGGGAGUGUGUAUGUGUGUAUGUCAGUAAGAGUGUAUGUGUUUGUCAGUGAGUGUGUAUGUGUGUUUGUCUGUGAGAGUGUAUGUGUAUUUGUCAGUGAGAGUGUAUAUGUGUGUUUGUCAGUGAGUAUGUAUGUGUUUGCUAGGGAGUGUGUAUGUGUGUUUGUCAGUAAGAGUGUAUGUGUUUGUCAGUGAGUGUGUAUGUGUGUUUGUCAGUUAGAGUGUAUUUGUAUUUGUCAGUGAGAGUAUAAAUGUAUUGGUCAGUGAGAGUGUAUAUGUGUUUGUCAGUGGGUUUGUAUAUGUGUUUGUCAGUGAGUGUGUGUAUGUGUUUGUUAGUGAGAGUGUAUAUGUUUGUAAUUGAGUUUGUACGUGUGUCUGUCAGUGAGUUUGUAUGUGUUUGUCAUUAAGAGUGUAUAUGUGUUUGUAAGUAUGUGUGUUUGUCAGUGAGAGUGUAUAUGUGUUUGUCAGUGAGCUUGUAUGUGUGUCUGUCAGUGAGUUUGUAUGUGUGUCUGUCAGUAAGAGUGUAUAUGUGUUUGUCUGUGAGUGUGUAUGUGUGUUUUGUCAGUAAUCGUGUUUGUGUGUUUGUCAGUGAGAGUGUAUAUGUGUUUGUCAGUGAGUGUGUAUGUGUGUUUGUCAGUGUGAGUGUAUGUGUGUUUGUCAGUGAGAGUGUAUAUGUGUGUUUGUCAGUGAGUUUGUUUAUGUGUUUGUCAGUGAGUUUGUAUGUGUGUCUGUCAGUGAGUUUGUAUGUUUGUCUGUCAGUGAGAGUGUAUGUGUUUGUCAGUGAGUGUGUAUAUGUGUGUUUGUCAGUGAGAGUGUAUAUGUGUUUGUCAGUGAGUUUGUAUGUAUAUCUGUCAAAGAGUGUAUGUAUGUGUGUUUGUCAGUAAGAGUGUAUAUGUGUUUGUCAGUGAGUAUGUGUUUGUCAGGGAGUGUGUAUGUGUGUUUUCAGUGAGAGUGUAUAUGUGUUUGUUGGUGGGUUUGGAUGUGUGUCUAUCAAAGAGUGUGUGUGUUUGUCAGUAUAUGUGUAUAUCUGUCAGUGUCAGUCUAUGUGUGUAUGUCAGUGUGUUUGUCUGUCACGGAGAGUGUGUCUGCCAGUGAAUGUGUAUGUCUGUCAGUGUGUGUGUGUGUCACUGAGUGUGUGUGUGUCUGUCAGCUAAUGUAUGUGUGUCUGUCAGUGAAUGUGUGUGUCUAUCAGUGUGUGUGUCUAUGACACUGAGUUGGUGUGUGUCUGACAGGCAAAGAGCAUGAAGUAGGUUUAUGGCUAAGGCUUACCAUGGUUCAUGGAGUGGGGAAAACUUACCCCUGGUAUUUGAGUGGGACAGUCUUGACAGGAUCAAGAGCUGGAUACUGGAGAUUAAGUCUUGUCUGCUGGGAAGUCUGGGAGCAGUGGAAACCACACCCUCCUCCUGACAUCAUCAGAGGAGGCCGGGUGACACUGCCAAGUUCCUGUGUGUUGGUUGCAGGGACAGCGAGGUAGGCUGUAGUUAUUGGAAAUAUCAUAGUUCCCAGCCAGAGGCAGGGGAUUCCGAUUUUUGUGCCCCCUUGCUCUGGCGCCCUAUGGCAGCCAUCGAUGCUGGCUUAUGGAUGCGCUGGCCCUGAUAACAAAUGUGUUUGAGACCGAGUGUCCAAUUCCUUGUAAAAAUCAAGUCUAUGAUCAAACAUUACCCGUUCAUGCUCCCUCCCCGUGUCAGGAUUACUAGCUGAUCCAGCUCGUAGAAUUGUGUCACACAGAUGACUAAUAGGUAACGUAUUAUCGGGCCUUAGAAUGGCCGGACUUAACGUACCAAAGAAUAGUCAGGGGAUACAGAAAGAGACGCGAUAAGAGAAAGCCAGAAGUCAGAGAUACAGAAUACAGGGAAGUCAAAAUCAAAGCUAAAGUAAAAAACCAGAAGAAAUUUGAAUCAGGAACGCGCUCUCGGACAACCACAAGGGAAACCACGACAGGGCACUGAGCAGGAUGAGAACUGGGCUUAAAUACCCUUCCUCUAGAUCUGAUAGGCUGUAACCGGCCUUUGACCCCAAAGGCAGUUAGCAGGUUUCCAUUUGCAUAAUUGCUGCUCAGCAUUAACCCUUCUGUGGAUUUGGUUGCGGCUCGGCACAACUUUUCCUGUGUGGACAGUAAAUGCCAUUAACCACAUUUUCAUAAGCGGAUGAAUACGUGACACCCCGCACUUGCCAAAACAAAUUUAAAAAUCACCUUCUCAGGUGGAAUUUAGCCCACUUAAUACUCUGCCUGCUUCUGCUCCACAAAAGUGCUAAAUGUCAGUCUUACCAAUGAAUGAUUACAUUGCAGCAGGCCCAAUAUUCUCUCAGUUCUUCACUGCUGACAACUAUACUGUGGUGAGAUGGAGGGUUGUCAUUUCUGAAGCUUCAGAGUCCUGCUGGUACCACCAAUGCCCAUUGGAUUGCCAUCAUUGCUCAGGACAUAAUGCGGGUAAUUUCUCAGAAAACUUUUCCUUAAUGAGAUUCUAUAGUGUUAAGAAUACAAAUCUGUAUUCCUAACACUGUAGUGUCCUCUGGUCCCCACCACCCCCCGCCUCACGACCUCCUCCUCAAUCUGGCACAUCAAGGGUUAAAAGAUUUUUUUGUUACUUGUCUGAUUACAGUACUGAUGUCCCUUGUAGCUGAGUUGGCACUCUGCUUCCUCUGACAUCAUCCAAUGGGGGGACCUAAUGUGCAUGCGCAGCCCUACCCAUGCUUUCCUUUGGGGUUUUCACUGACACUGGAUGUCCUCUGGCAGAGUGUGAGGACACCUAGCAUUGUUUAUGGGACUCAGAGUCCACUAGAAUCCAGCCACAAGAUGCAGUUUUAGUCCUGCAAAGGAAUCAUUGCAGUUUCUCAAAAACUGCAGUGUUUUACCUUGCAGGACUAAGUAAGACAGGGAUAUUGCACUUGAAUGGGGACACUGCAGGAACACUGCACUUUAAUGAGAUGAACUGUUCUAGGUGCCUAUAAUCUCCAUUUAAUAAUUCUCCCCCUAUAAAAUCACAGGCUAUUCUGGGGUUAAAGGUUGUGAGACAUUCUUGGUUUCCAUGGUUAUUGCUCCUCGCAGUCCUAAUUCUCAGUGCAUCAGUGAGUCAGAGCGCUUCCUUGCUGCAGAAAGAUAAGCAGGGGCUAAAACACUUUUUUUAAUGUUAAGAAAACACACACACACAGUCGGCCAACUUCACACAUAAUCACAUUCAGCCAACCCCAUACACAAUCACAUUUAGCCAACCAAGAAACACAAUCACAUUUAGACAAACUCACAAUCACUCAAUAAACCUCACACCCAAUCACAUACAGCCAGCAAUCCACAUACAAUCACACCCAACCAACUCCACACAUACAUAUCACACUCAUACAAGAGUAUAUUUUACAUGAUUUGACAUAGAUAAGUCUGCACUUUUAUUUUGGAAUUAUGUCAAAAGUGGGGGAAAAAAAGUUUUCAGUCUCACGAGACUUCCUCAAUAUUUUUUCCUAGGGUUUAUUAUGGAUGAAAUGCAUUUAUACAUUCAUGAGAGCAAUAGGAGGAUAUAUUAGAUUUGUCUUGAUAUAUACUAGAUUUGGCUUAGAUACAUACUAGAUUUGUCUUGAUGUAUACUAGAUUUAUCUUGAUAUAUACUAGAUUUGUCUUGAUAUAUACUAGAUUUAUCUUGAUAUAUACUAGAUUUGUCUUGACGUAUACUAGAUUUGGCUUAGAUAUAUACUAGAUUUGUCUUGAUAUAUACUAAUUUUGUCUUGAUAUAUACUAAUUUUGUCUUGAUAUAUACUAGAUUUGUCUUGAUAUAUACUAGUUUUGUCUUGAUAUAUACUAGUUUUGUCUUGAUAUAUACUAGAUUUGUCUUGAUAUAUACUAGAUUUGUCUUGAUAUAUACUAGUUUUGUCUUGAUAUAUACUAGAUUUGUCUUGAUAUAUACUAGAUUUGUCUUGAUAUAUACUAGUUUUGUCUUGAUAUAUACUAGAUUUGUCUUGAUAUAUACUAGAUUUGUCUUGACGUAUACUAGAUUUGGCUUAGAUAUAUACUAGAUUUGUCUUGAUAUAUACUAGUUUUGUCUUGAUAUAUACUAGAUUUGUCUUGAUAUAUACUAGAUUUGUCUUGAUAUAUACUAGAUUUGUCUUGAUAUAUACUAGAUUUGUCUUGAUAUAUACUAGUUUUGUCUUGAUAUAUACUAGAUUUGUCUUGAUAUAUACUAGAUUUGUCUUGACGUAUACUAGAUUUGGCUUAGAUAUAUACUAGAUUUGUCUUGAUAUAUACUAGUUUUGUCUUGAUAUAUACUAGAUUUGUCUUGAUAUAUACUAGAUUUGGCUUAGAUAUAUACUAAAUUUGUCUUGAUAUAUACUAGAUUUGGCUUAGAUAUAUACUAGAUUUGUCUUGAUAUAUACUAGUUUUGGCUUAGAUAUAUACUAGAUUUGGCUUAAUAUAUACUAGAUUUGGCUUAAAUAUAAACUACUCAGGGUAAAAAAUUCUUUCCACGUAGCUAUGACAAAUAGAAGGGGUAGAUUUCUUGAGGCUAAUAAAACAGUAGAUCAAUAAACCUUGUGCCAUCUUGAUUUGUGGCCAUAUGGUCUGCAUUUAUCCAGAAAUGACACAGCACAUCUCUUCUUUUUCAGACAUAUUUGAGCUUUGGGACCUGUGAUAUACAUCUGUUCCAUUCAUGGUGAAACUGACCAUGCUGUUCUGAGAAGUGUACAUAGACCAUCUGUGCGCACGUGGGACUACAGUCUGUGGGUAGCUAAUGUUCUGCUACUAUUAAAUAGCUUUCAAGGACUUACCCACUUUGUGAACUGAUCUACGAAAUUGAUCUUUUUCCUUACUCAGACAGCUGGUGACAUAUGCUGCUUUAUAAAGGUUGUUUCUGAGUUAGAACUUUUCCAGCAUCACAGCUGAUUAUUUUGUUUCUUCUAAUCAGUAAUCUCCACGAAAGCCCAGUUAAUUGCACAAAUAAAGACUCCAUAUGUCCUUAGUUUUGUGAGUGA
RNAcentral lists this long non-coding RNA (13359 nucleotides) under Pelobates cultripes (western spadefoot toad). Lineage: Eukaryota; Metazoa; Chordata; Amphibia; Anura; Pelobatidae. The record is from RNAcentral.